UUUACAGAUGAGGUCACUGAGGCCCAGAGAAGUGAAGUGACUCGCCCACAGUCACCCAGCUGACAAGCGGCAGAUCUGGGAUUCGAACCCAUGACCUCUGACUGCCCAGCCCGGGCUCUUUCCACUGAGCCACGCUGCUUCCCUGCUUCCCUUCCAUAUAGAUAUGCCUUGAUGUUGAAAUAAAUAUUUUACCACAAGUAUAUUCUUCUGGGGCCUUUACAGGAAGGAAGUGCACUGAUGGUUUCCAGAAAUUUGGGUCGUGGCAGCUAGACCAGGAUAGAUUGCUAUCGAAACCAAUACACGGUAAUCAGGUUGUCCCACAAGGGGCUCUCAGUAGGUGACCGAGGCACAGAGAGGUUAAAUGGCUCGCCCAAGCUCACGCAGCAGACAAGUGGCAGAGCCGGGAUUAGAAGCCAGCUCCUUUGACUCCCAAGCCCGGGCUCUUUCCACCGAGCCACGCCGCUUCUCUACGUUGCAGUUCAGCAGGUGGGCUGGGGUCUGCCCAAUUCUUCAAUUUCCAAUUGAUUUUCCACCUGACUCCACUUCCCAUCAUUCCAGACCUUAAAAGGGGAAUAAGCUCAAGAUCCUGGAGUUUAACUGCAGAGCACAUGGUGAGUGUUGGAGAGACUCAAGUUUAAAACCCUUUUCCCUUUCAGCUGACACAGUAACCCAAAUCCAGCUCACCCGCCGAUGAUGUCACGCAGUUUGAAAAGCUAUAUUCCUUGCACCCGCUCUGUACCUUUCCUACAUCACGGAGAACCGAGAUGAAAUCGAUGUCGGCUGGUUGAAAAUUGAAGCGCAAUGAAAAGAGAAAUCUAAAUGUUGGAACGUUCUGUACCGAGGAGACAGUCUUGUGCAACGAAUAUACCCGGUGUUCUCCUUAACUGGUCUCAGGAAAUCCAUUUUGAUGAGAGGAUUUCAAAUGUAAUGGAUCGAGUCGGACCACUCCGUCAAUCAAAGUAUUUCUUGAACGCCUUCUGUGUCCAGAGCCCUGGGCUCUGCACCUGGGAGAGUACGAGAGAAUCGGCAGACUGGUCCUCCCCCUGGAGAAGCUUACAAUCUAGUGGGAGAGACAGACGUUAAGAAACAUUGCAGAUAGGAGAAACAAGGAAAAGAGCCCUCCCUCUCGUUUCCUCUUCGUGGGACAAAAAUGACGAAGACAGGCGAUUUUUGAAUCCGUCUUCAGAGGCUUCGCGGUCCAAUAUCUGAUGAGGUUGCAAAAGCGACGUUCCUAAAUAUCUGGACCCGAUCCAUGAUGAUCUGCAAUCUUCAUCAUGAGGGUUAGGCGGAAACCCAAGGGUCAGCAGGGGAGGGUUCGGCAAAUCCCAUCCUCUCCUCGCCCCCUCGUCGCCAUGAAUUCCAGGACCUGCAUUCCUGAGAGAUCUGUUUCCCAGGAGAGUCAUCUGUUAUUCGCUCCAGAGCUGGCUAAUUGAAGAUUGCAUCUACGGCUUGGCAGGUCUCUUCGACCCAUAAACUCUGAGCUGUCCCGUUCUCUAGGCUUGCUUCAAGAUGGCUGGGGCUCCAACUCAUUCUGCUUUCUUCCAAAGUUUGGGGUUAAAUUAGAGCGGCGCAGAUAUUGGAUCCUGGAGCAGAACCAGUUACGUACCCUUUGAAGGAGGAUUAGGAGAACUCAAGUCCUUCCUUGCAGGGUGGGAGGAAAGAUGAAAAGAGAAGGUACCGACAGAAUGUUGGACCUUCGUCAGCACCUUGGUGAUGAUUUCACUUUGUUCUCCCUGGUAUCUUCUCUCGCUCUAGGAUGUUCAUCAAAGUCUCAAUCCUCAGCACAGUGCUUACCACGAGGUGAAAGUCUCUCCCCAUAAGAAACGAUGGAUGGACUUCGGUUCAGUCAUUUCCUGGGCAUUUGGGCAAGAGGGACAGAGCUUUGGUGCUUAGUUUGAAAAACCUCUUAGGUUUUGGGGUUUUUUUAUGAUAUUCGUUAAGUGCUUACUCUGCGUCAGACGAUGUACUGAAUGCUGGUGUAGAUACAAGUUAAUCCGGUCGGUUUCGGUCCACGUCCCACACGGGGCCGACAAUUUUAAUCCCCAUUUUGCAGAUGAGGUACCUGAAGCCCAGAGAGGUGAAGUGACUUGCCCAAGGGCACCCGGCAGACAAGGGGCAGAGCCGGGGUUAGAACCCAGAUCUUUCUGACUCCCAGGCCCUUUGUCUAGCCACUAGGCCUCGCUGCUUCUCUGUUUCCACGCUCCCUCUGCCCAAUUUUCAGAGAGAUAGGUGUGAACUGACAGUUAUGUAUUGCUUUGCAAGGUUCCCAGUGAACUGAAAAUCCCAGCCAGGUUAGAACAAACAUGCUAUAAGCAAAGAAUAAUUUAAUCACUUACUUGCCUCCGGGGCUGGUAUCUCGGGAAAGAAGGAGACUCGUGUGCCAGCCUGUAUUAAAGCAGAUGAUUGGCUCGAAGCUGGUCGUGAGCUGUUUCCAGGAGCCUGCAGCAGAGACCACCAAACUUGUACAUGUCCAUGGAUUCCUGCCCGAGGCAAUCAACCGUUUCCAUCAAAUUCACUCUCUGUUUGACCCAGGGAGGGAGGGAGAGAGGGAAGAGCCAAAAAACUCGGUCAGUUUUUUGCAAGUCAAUCCCAGCUGUCUUGGGCUAAGC
Molecule: long non-coding RNA, 2609 nt
Filed under: Ornithorhynchus anatinus (platypus)
Lineage: Eukaryota; Metazoa; Chordata; Mammalia; Monotremata; Ornithorhynchidae
Description: lncRNA (ENSOANG00000042990.1)
Source: RNAcentral